GGAUCAGGUAGGAAUACCCGCUGAACUUAA
This 30-nucleotide ribosomal RNA is filed under the name Diaporthe gulyae. RNAcentral describes it as "partial large subunit ribosomal RNA". Lineage: Eukaryota; Fungi; Ascomycota; Sordariomycetes; Diaporthales; Diaporthaceae. The record is from RNAcentral.